RNAcentral lists this small RNA (643 nucleotides) under Pongo abelii (Sumatran orangutan). Its description in RNAcentral is "retained intron". The record is from RNAcentral. Lineage: Eukaryota; Metazoa; Chordata; Mammalia; Primates; Hominidae.
CAGUCGUCCUGUCCUGGCCGCUCGCUCUGCUUCGCUGCGCCGCCACUAUGCUCUCCGUCCGUGUCCCGCUCGCGCCCAUCACGGACCCGAAGCAGCUGCAGCUCUCGCCGCUGAAGGGGCUCAGCUUGGUCGACAAGGAGAACACGCCGCCGGCCCUGAGCGGGACCCGCGUCCUGGCCAGCAAGACCGCGAGGAGGAUCUUCCAGGAGCCCGCGGAGCCGAAAACUAAAGCAGCUGCCCCCGACGUGGAGGAUGAGCCGCUGCUGAGAGAAAACCCCCGCCGCUUUGUCAUCUUCCCCAUCGAGUACCAUGAUAUCUGGCAGAUGUAUAAGAAGGCAGAGGCUUCCUUCUGGACCGCCGAGGAGGUGGACCUCUCCAAGGACAUUCAGCACUGGGAAUCCCUGAAGCCCGAGGAGAGAUAUUUUAUAUCCCAUGUUCUGGCUUUCUUUGCAGCAAGCGAUGGCAUAGUAAAUGAAAACUUGGUGGAGCGAUUUAGCCAAGAAGUUCAGAUUACAGAAGCCCGCUGUUUCUAUGGCUUCCAAAUUGCCAUGGAAAACAUACAUUCUGAAAUGUAUAGUCUUCUUAUUGACACUUACAUAAAAGAUCCCAAAGAAAGGUGAGUAUUCAAGUGGUAUGCAAGAUU